Long non-coding RNA from Trifolium pratense (red clover), 1091 nucleotides. RefSeq lists it as uncharacterized. The transcript has 6 exons. NCBI's taxonomy places the organism in Eukaryota, Viridiplantae, Streptophyta, Magnoliopsida, Fabales, Fabaceae. The record is from RefSeq and is a predicted model, not a curated record.
AAACUAGAAAUUCAUAAGGAUAAAAAGUAUUGCUUCUGAGAUGGAAGGAAAGACAGAAGAAGAAGUAGAAAGAUAUGCAGAAGUUUUCAGAGAGCGAUACAAGGAGUUGAAUGAUUAUGACAGAAUUAUAAAAAACAUUGAAAGAGGUGAGUCAAGAAUAGCUCGGAAAGAUGAGAUCAUGAAAGCUAUUGGGAAGAAGUUGGACCGCUACAAGAAUCCUUGGCUAGAGUUGAAGAUACAAUAUGGACAAAACAAAGGGAAAUUAUACAAUGAAGAAUGUGAUCGAUUCAUGAUAUGCAUGACUCACAAACUUGGAUAUGGGAAUUGGGAUGAAUUGAAGGCGGCAUUUCGAAUGUCACCCUUGUUUCAUUUCGAAUAACAAGGAGAGAUGUGACACCCUCAUUCGGUUGGUAGAGAAGGAAAAUCAAGAAUAUGAUGAAAGGGAGAGACAAGCUCGUAAAGAAAAGAAACUUGCCACUAAGAGUUCGACUCCAUCAAAGCGCCCCUUGCCAAGACAGGCAGAGAGUCCAUCUCUGAAGAAGCGGAAGCAAUUAACGAUGGAUCACUAUGUAAGCUCGGGGAAGAGAAAAAAAUAAAUGGACGAAUGCCCUACAUUCCGGUAAAUGAGAGGGGUUGUUUGUAGGUUGACUUCUGAUUUUAAAGCCUUGGUGACUUUGAUAUGGCCUAGUAAACAUCUCUAUUGAUCGUAGCGUGGCUUCUGGCUUCCCAAGUUUGGUGCUAGGGGCUUCUACCUAACACUCUAAUUUUACCUCUUACACCUUCCUUUCUGCAUUCUUAUUUUUUUACUCUCCACAGCGCUGCUUUGCCUAAUGUGUUCGAUGAUCCCACGUCAUUAACCGAGGAGGAGAUGUAUGAAUUGCGAAACAGCUGGGCUACUUGUUUUCUUGACCUGUACAAUCCCGAGGUAGAUUAUGAUGUUUCCGAUGAUGAGGUUUAGGAGCUAGCUAGUUACAAUGGAUUCACAUUAAUUAGGAUGUUUUGAAUUGUAAUGACUUGUAUUUUGCUUGAAUGUUAUAACAUUUUGGAUUGUUGGUAUUUUGCUUGAAUUGUAAGACUUGGUAUUUUAUUUG